Molecule: ribosomal RNA, 253 nt
Filed under: uncultured bacterium
Lineage: Bacteria
Description: partial 16S ribosomal RNA
Rfam family: Bacterial small subunit ribosomal RNA
Source: RNAcentral
UACGUAGGGUGCAAGCGUUGUCCGGAAUCACUGGGCGUAAAGGGCGCGUAGGCGGCUCAUGAAGGCUGUGGUGAAAGUCCGGGGCUCAACCUCGGAUCGGCCGUGGCGACUCGUGGGCUGGAGCACUGUAGAGGCGGGUGGAAUUCCGGGUGUAGCGGUGGAAUGCGUAGAGAUCCGGAAGAACACCAGUGGCGAAGGCGGCCCGCUGGGCAGUGGCUGACGCUGAGGCGCGACAGCAUGGGGAGCGAACAGG